GCCCCCGUAGCUCAGUGGAUAGAGCGUCGGACUUCUAAUCCGUUGGUCGCAGGUUCGAAUCCUGCCGGGGGCG
This is a non-coding RNA of Actinotalea fermentans, 73 nucleotides long. NCBI's taxonomy places the organism in Bacteria, Bacillati, Actinomycetota, Actinomycetes, Micrococcales, Cellulomonadaceae. The record is from Rfam.